This 74-nucleotide transfer RNA is filed under the name Engelhardtia mirabilis. RNAcentral describes it as "Planctomycetes bacterium Pla133 tRNA-Cys". It matches the Rfam family "tRNA". Rfam says of the family: Transfer RNA (tRNA) molecules are approximately 80 nucleotides in length. Their secondary structure includes four short double-helical elements and three loops (D, anti-codon, and T loops). Lineage: Bacteria; Pseudomonadati; Planctomycetota; Planctomycetia. The record is from RNAcentral.
GGCGGCAUAGCCAAGUGGUAAGGCAAUGGAUUGCAAAUCCAUCACCCCCGGUUCGAUUCCGGGUGCCGCCUCCA